CAACCUGCCUAUCAAGAGGGGGAAUAACAGUGAGAAAUCAGUUGCUAAUACCGCAUAUGCUCACAGUAUCACAUGAUACAGUGAGGAAAGGAGCAAUCCGCUGAUAGAUGGGCUUGCGCCUGAUUAGUUAGUUGGUGGGGUAAACGGCCUACCAAGACGACGAUCAGUAGCCGGACUGAGAGGGUGGACGGCCACAUUGGGACUGAGACACGGCCCAAACUCCUACGGAAGGCAGCAG
This 238-nucleotide ribosomal RNA is filed under the name uncultured bacterium. Its description in RNAcentral is "partial 16S ribosomal RNA". It matches the Rfam family "Bacterial small subunit ribosomal RNA", at positions 122 to 354 of the family's 1533-position model. The record is from RNAcentral.